This 337-nucleotide ribosomal RNA is filed under the name uncultured Clostridium sp. Its description in RNAcentral is "bacterial SSU rRNA". It matches the Rfam family "Bacterial small subunit ribosomal RNA", at positions 355 to 707 of the family's 1533-position model. Lineage: Bacteria; Bacillati; Bacillota; Clostridia; Eubacteriales; Clostridiaceae. The record is from RNAcentral.
UGGGGGAUAUUGCACAAAUGGGGGGAAACCCUGAUGCAGCAACGCCGCGUGAAGGAAGAAGGUCUUCGGAUUGUAAACUUUUGUCCUCAGGGAAGAUAAUGACGGUACCUGAGGAGGAAGCUCCGGCUAACUACGUGCCAGCAGCCGCGGUAAUACGUAGGGAGCGAGCGUUGUCCGGAUUUACUGGGUGUAAAGGGUGCGUAGGCGGAUUUUCAAGUCAGUAGUGAAAUGCAGGGGCUUAACCCCUGAGCUGCUAUUGAAACUGAGAGUCUUGAGUGGAGUAGAGGCAGGCGGAAUUCCCGGUGUAGCGGUGAAAUGCGUAGAGAUCGGAGGACAC